GUGAGGAAUCUUCCACAAUGGGCGUAAGCCUGAUGGAGCAACGCCGCGUGAAGGAUGAAGGUCUUCGGAUUGUGAACUUCUUUUAUGAGUGAAGAAUAUGACGGUAACUCAUGAAUAAGCACCGGCUAACUACGUUCCAGCAGCCGCGGUCAUACGUAGGGUGCAAGCAUUAUCCGGAGUGACUGGGCGUAAAGAGUUGCGUAGGCGGUUAUGUAAGCGAAUAGUGAAACCUGGUGGUUCAACCACACAGACUAUUAUUCGAACUGCAUAACUCGAGAAUGGUAGAGGUAACUGGAAUUUCUUGUGUAGGAGUGAAAUCCGUAGAUAUAAGAAGGAACACCAAUGGCGUAGGCAGGUUACUGGGCCAUUUCUGACGCUAAGGCACGAAAGCGUGGGGAGCGAACCGGAUUAGAAACCCCUGUAGUCC
RNAcentral lists this ribosomal RNA (427 nucleotides) under uncultured bacterium. Its description in RNAcentral is "partial 16S ribosomal RNA". It matches the Rfam family "Bacterial small subunit ribosomal RNA", at positions 354 to 796 of the family's 1533-position model. The record is from RNAcentral.